AUUGAACGCUGGCGGAAUGCUUUACACAUGCAAGUCGAACGGUAGAGGGGGCAACCCCUCGAGAGUGGCGAACGGGUGAGUAAUAUAUCGGAACGUGCCCAGUCGUGGGGGAUAACGUAGCGAAAGUUACGCUGAGACGGCAUACGGGCGGAGGGUGAAGGCGGCGACACGCAACACCUCGCGGCAUUGGAGCGGACGGUAUCAGCUUAGGUAGUUGGUGGGGUAAAGGCUCACCAAGCCAACGAUCUGUAGCUGGUCUGAGAGGACGACCAGCCACACUGGAACUGAGACACGGUCCAGACUCCUACGGGAGGCAGCAGUGGGGAAUUUUGGACAAUGGACGCAAGUCUGAUCCAGCCAUUCCGCGUGCAGGAUGAAGGCCCUCGGGUUGUAAACUGCUUUUGUACGGAACGAAAAGGUCUCUCUUAAUACGGGGGGCUCAUGAUGGUACCGUAAGAAUAAGCACCGGCUAACUACGUGCCAGCAGCCGCGGUAA
RNAcentral lists this ribosomal RNA (496 nucleotides) under uncultured bacterium. RNAcentral describes it as "partial 16S ribosomal RNA". It matches the Rfam family "Bacterial small subunit ribosomal RNA", at positions 30 to 523 of the family's 1533-position model. The record is from RNAcentral.